GAUGAACGCUGGCGGCGUGCUUAACACAUGCAAGUCGAACGAAGAUGCCGGAGUGCUUGCACUUUGGCAGACUGAGUGGCGGACGGGUGAGUAACGCGUGGGUAACCUGCCUUAUACAGGGGGGAUAACAGUUGGAAACGACUGCUAAUACCGCAUAAGCGCACGGUAUCGCAUGAUACAGUGUGAAAAACUCCGGUGGUAUAAGAUGGACCCGCGUCUGAUUAGCUUGUUGGUGAGGUAACGGCCCACCAAGGCGACGAUCAGUAGCCGGCCUGAGAGGGUGAACGGCCACAUUGGGACUGAGACACGGGCCCAAACUCCUACGGGAGGCAGCAGUGGGGAAUAUUGCACAAUGGGGGAAACCCUGAUGCAGCAACGCCGCGUGAGGAUGACGGUUUCGGAUUGUAAACUUCUUUCUUAGUGACGAAGACAGUGACGGUAGCUAAGGAAUAAGCAUCGGGCUAAACUACGUGCCAGCAGCC
RNAcentral lists this ribosomal RNA (482 nucleotides) under uncultured bacterium. Its description in RNAcentral is "bacterial SSU rRNA". It matches the Rfam family "Bacterial small subunit ribosomal RNA", at positions 28 to 516 of the family's 1533-position model. The record is from RNAcentral.